AUCGACGCCGGAAGCUGAGUGUGGCGGCCAUCUUGCUGUGACCAUCUUAGCAAUGUUUGGGUCCUCUUUUGGCAAAACUUAUGUCGAUCGUAAGGGAAAUUCGCAAUAUUAUUGUGUCAAUGCUUCAGUCGUGAACUGCCAGGACAACUUCCAAGCUGGAUUUUCAUGUGUACAUCGACGAAUUAUGCUCUAUCUUAAGUAGGAGAAAGAAUGAAAUUCGUCAUGAGAACUCCUAACGGCUACGAUGAGAGGACAUUCUAGGUCGAAGUAUUUCACAUUGUCUUUCAGUUUCAUCAUUUUGGCUUUGUUAAACAAUUAUUUGUUCCAAAUGAAAGAAAAAUAUCUGGUGUGUGUUAUUUGUUAUAUUUAUACUGAAAGGGGAAUGCUUUUUGUUAAGACAAUGUUUAGACAGUUAAUGAUGUGUUUGUUUCAAUAUUGCAUCUCUCACUCUUGAACUCGGCAAUUUCACUUUUUCUUUAAUGUCUUCAUUUACUUUGUCAUUUAUGACGAAAAGAAAAAUAAAUUACGGCUUUAAUUUACUGUUCUUUGCAAAACUGAAUUUUUUGACAUUAACCCUGAUGUCAGUUGGUAUGAUUAAUAAUUUUAUUGGAGUUUUAUUAGUCAAUGGCAAAGUGCAUAUAUUGUUGGCAGAUUGUAAUUGUUAAUUUGAAAGUAACAAAGAAUCUGUACAACAAAAUGCAUAUUCUUAUAUUUCAGAGCCUAUGGACAUGUUAGAUGUGUGAAAGGAACAAUAAUGCUAACAAUAAACAGCAUCUCAAUAGACUUAUUGGAUUUAUAUAUAAUUUCUUCUAAACAAGCUUUAAACAACAAUUUGCUAUACUGUUGAUGGUUUAUUAAAUUGUUUGGAUGGUA
Molecule: long non-coding RNA, 873 nt
Organism: Xenia sp. Carnegie-2017
Lineage: Eukaryota; Metazoa; Cnidaria; Anthozoa; Malacalcyonacea; Xeniidae
Exons: 2
Source: RefSeq, a predicted model, not a curated record